RNAcentral lists this ribosomal RNA (443 nucleotides) under uncultured bacterium. RNAcentral's name for it is "partial 16S ribosomal RNA". It matches the Rfam family "Bacterial small subunit ribosomal RNA", at positions 338 to 795 of the family's 1533-position model. The record is from RNAcentral.
CCUACGGGAGGCAGCAGUGGGGGAUAUUGGACACUGGGGGGAACCCUGAUCCAGCGACGCCGCGUGAGUGAAGAAGUAUUUCGGUAUGAAAAGCUCUGUCAGCAGGGAAGAAAGCAAGGACGGUACCGGACAAAGAAGCCCCGGCUAACUACGUGCCAGCAGCCGCGGUAGUAAGUAGGGGGCAAGCGUUAUCCGGAAUUACUGGGUGUAAAGGGAGCGUAGACGGCUGUGCAAGUCUGGAGUGAAGGGCGGGUGCCCAACCCCCGGACUGCUCUGGAAACUGGAUGGCUGGAGUGCAGGAGAGGUAAGCGGAAUUCCUAGUGGAGCGGUGAAAUGCGUAGAUAUUAGGAGGAACACCAGUGGCGAAGGCGGCUUACUGGACUGUAACUGACGUUGAGGCUCGAAAGCGUGGGGAGCAAACAGGAUUAGAUACCCCAGUAGUC